This 773-nucleotide long non-coding RNA is filed under the name Mytilus galloprovincialis (Mediterranean mussel). Lineage: Eukaryota; Metazoa; Mollusca; Bivalvia; Mytilida; Mytilidae. The record is from RNAcentral.
CUCCGGAAAAAACCCAUAAAUAUUACCAAUUAAGCUCAAGUUAUCGUAACAAACAUAUGACAUAAACUAUGCAAUGUUCAUCAUGUCCAUGAAGUCCUACAUUUAAAAUGAAGAAAUUAAUUUAUUACAGCAUAAUAAUAUACGCUAGCAUUGUGUCUAUUAUUCUUUCAUUACAGGGGUUCCCCAAAAAUAAAACCCGAGUAUAAUCCAUUUAACUCAAAAUUAACUCAGUUCCCCUUAAAGAAUACAUUACACAAACAAUACAACGUAUAUGAAGUCCUACAUUUUAAAUGAAGAAAUUAAUUGAUUACAGAAUAACUAUAUACUCUAGCAUUGUAUCUACUACUAUUUUAUUACAUGGAUAACUAAGGUAACCCCAACCCCCCAAAACUAAAAUUAAAAAAAAACCAAAGAAAUAUAACCAAUCUAACUCAAUUCUUAUCUUAACAAAUAUAUGACAUAAGCUAUGCAGUGUCCAUAAAGUUCUACAUUCAGAAUGAAAAAAAAUAGUUUAUUGCAGCAUAAAAUAUAUCAUAGCAUAGUAUUUACUAUUCCUUAAUUACGGGGGUUACCUGAGGUCAACCCCAAAAAAACAACCUUACAAUUCAACCAAUUCAUCUCCAAUGAACUCAGUUCACAUGAACACAUUCAUAACGUAAACAUUACAACGUCCAUGAAGUUCUAUAAUGAGAAUGAAGACAUUAUUUAAUUACAUUGGUUUUGGUAUUAAGUCACAUUACAAUGUGGUAUUAAGAUUGAUCUACAUAGGGAAC